CUCCUGGGAACAGAAACGCCUGCUCAUUCGAUGUUUGUACAGUGAUUAACACUUUGAGGCCACCACCAGGCUGAGGCCUCCAGCAGCUACUUCAAUAAAAGCAAGACAUAAGAAUGAAGAAAUUUGGCCUGAUCUUAGUGUCCUUAAUUUACCAUCCUGUAGAAGCAGCGAAACCUUAAGCAUCUGAAAUAGGCAUUGGACAAGACCACAAGGGAUCAAAGGGAACAAAUAUUCCUCCUCAGUCACACACAUUUUGAACCCACAAGGCAUGUGGCCAGUACAAAUAUGAAGCUGAACACCAAGGAACUGGCUUCAGAGAAGAAAUGCUUGCUGUUCACAUACUCCAGUAGCCUAUGAAUCAUGAUUUGAAAAGCUCUGUUC
Pelodiscus sinensis (Chinese soft-shelled turtle) is the source of this 381-nucleotide non-coding RNA. Lineage: Eukaryota; Metazoa; Chordata; Testudines; Trionychidae. The record is from RefSeq and is a predicted model, not a curated record.